Non-coding RNA from Xylariaceae sp. FL1651, 84 nucleotides. NCBI's taxonomy places the organism in Eukaryota, Fungi, Ascomycota, Sordariomycetes, Xylariales, Xylariaceae. The record is from the annotation of a GenBank genome assembly.
GGCUCCUUGGUCUAGAGGUAUGAUUCUCGCUUUGGGUAUCUCCGAAUAUGCGAGAGGCCCCGGGUUCGAAUCCCGGAGGAGCCC